AAUCCAUGAUGUAGGCAUUGCCUAAGAAGGUCCUUGAAUUGUUCAUGUGCCUCAAAUAGUUUAUUUUGAUUCUCCUUGCUUAAAUGAUGAGAUCUCUUGCUUGAUCUU
Molecule: small nucleolar RNA, 108 nt
Organism: Dioscorea cayenensis subsp. rotundata (Guinea yam)
Lineage: Eukaryota; Viridiplantae; Streptophyta; Magnoliopsida; Dioscoreales; Dioscoreaceae
Source: RefSeq, a predicted model, not a curated record